ACAUCUCCUUUUAUUCGUCUGCGUUACUGUAGCUACGAGGGAAGGGAUAAGGUCUCGAGUGCUCGCUUCCUCCGGCCGCCUCCUUCUCUUCCUCUUCCUCUUCCUCUCCCUCGGCGUAGCCCCUCCACCUCCCUCCUCCAUCGACGGCGCCUGGUCCAGAUGGGGCUCAUCUCGUCUCCAUGGAGAGCAGGGGUGGACAGUGGGAAGCGGUGGGGAGAAGCGAGCGGCAGCCGGCAGGGAGAGCCACGACGGGGUGGGCAGUGGGAAGCGGUGGGGAGAAGCGAGCGCCUGCCGGCAGGGAGAGCCACGACGAUGGUCGGCGUCAGCUGCCACUUCCUCCCCCCGCCGGCGCCGCGAGGCCGCCGAGCCCGCGCCCGAGCUUCCCGUCCGUGAGCGGUCACUCUGCCCACCGGCCGUCCCUCGUCUGUGUGCUUCUUCUCGGGAUGCUGACGCCAUGGAGCUCAUCAAGCUCCCUCUCUGCUGCAGGAGGAUUGGAUCGGAUUGGUUUCUACAUGCUCUAUUAUCUGUUUGAGAACUGAGUUGCGGCCCUCCAAAUCUUCAGCCCCAGAAGGAGGAUUUGAGAGUGGAGAAGGGUCAACUGAAUGUGAUUUGGAGGAAGGAGUUGUCCAGGAAUCAAAAUGUUAUUAUUCUACUAUUCUGCAGGGGAGAAUCUAAAGAUUAUUUGUUUCUUUUUAUGCCUGCAGAUCGCGUUUAGUGUUUGGGAUUCACACCCUACAUUGAUAAGGUCUGAAUUUAACAUCCACUUUUAACACUGGGAUCCUCAAGUGUUUCAGUUCGUACUUUGCCGACGUACAAUCUAUUGGCCACAUUUUCUAGCACACUUAUUCCAACUGAAGUCAGCUCCUGCUUGCACUUCUCCACUGAGUGAAUACUAAUAGUUCUAAAAAGAUAAACCACCCAUAGAAUUGGUUCUAAUUAGAUCCUCUGAAAGAUGCAAGCAGCUAGAGUACCUUAGUCCAUAGGAGUCCUGCAACUGGUUCAGAAGUUCUUGAGUAAACUGGAUCAGUGAGAAUAUUAAUUGAGUCGCUGCUCAAGAAACAAAAUAGAAUAACGACAGCGUAGCUAAUACCAUUUGUCUGUGCAUGAUGUAUUUUGAUCUCAAGUGCAUUUGAAUGGCUUGAUUUUUGCAGAGAUCUUGUCACCUGCGCCCUUGUUUGGUCGUACAUAAAACUGUCAUCUUGCUUUAAAGUCAAGUGGUCAGGUCUUUGAUAGUACGCAUGGGUGAACCCACCUUUUGUUGAAUUUGGGAACCGUCUAAUAUAGCUAUUUUUUAAGAAGGAGCUUGAACAGAUCUCAGUAUAUGUUAAUUUUGUAGAACUAAAGGUUAGCACAGAAUUGUAUGGUUUUAUUUUCUGGGUCAAAAGCUUGAUUCAUGCAGUACAUUCUCUAAUUCUUGAUACAUUUCAGUAUUCAAUUUUUUCAUUAACAAUACAAAAUAGUCAUCUUGCUUCAGAUUCAAGUGACCAGGUCGGUGUCGGCCUGCCCAUAGCGCCUCCACUCCAUCCCCCUCUGCGUCACUCCUACCACCGCUCGAGGCCAUGGCCAUGAUGCCGCCGGUGGAGUAUUAUUUUUCUACGUUUUAUCCAUGUGGAUCUAACCUUACAUCUACUGGCCAACCUUUUGAUGAAGCUGUAAUUGUGCCUGACUGACUAGAUCACCACAUGCAGACUAUUCAUUCCCUGCCAAACUGCACAUGCUAGCCACUAUUUGAAGAUGACGUUGUAAAAAAAUGCAUAAGCUGGGGAUGGCAUGGUGAUGCUGCUGGUCGAGAAGUACCAUCCCAUUCUUUCCUUACCUGCCAAUGCUUCCUCCUGCCUUGCCAGCUACGCGUGUCCUCACCUUUGUUCAUCAAUUCGUGUGCAGGUAUGAAUCGGUGAUGUUUUUGACGCCCAUAGAGCCAUUACCUCGUGCAUGUGUAUUUUGUGUGCCAGUUUACCAGUUAGUGAGUGAUAAUGUCCGCAUGAAUGUUUCAUCGUUUAGCAAGUGAUCAGCAACAUGCAUCUCUUACUUUUGGAUUGAAGUGCAGAUCUUGCUAAAGAGAUGACCAUGGAGUCAUUUAUGUAUUCUUAUGCCCCAAUGCUUCAUUAAUUAUUCUUAUUAUGCAAUAUAAAAUUAUUUCUUACCGUCUUCUAUUGUUUCCUCUGAUUUUCUCAGUUAUUCAGAGAACACCACAUGUUACAUGAAUUCUAGACUACUUUCCUAGAGGUAGUUGUUAGAAUCAUCUUCUUGAAUUUGCCUGCUUAGCAUCUAAUAUUUCACACUCGCCAAUUGUAAUAUCUCACGCUUGCCAAUUUUUAGAAUCAGGUUCUUGAGUUUGCAUGCUUAACCGUGUCCCUAUGCAAUUGCUCACCAACCUCGCCAAUUGUGAGUUUGUCCCACAUAGUGGAGUUUCUGUGAGUUUUUGUAGUCUAUAAAUUCUUGGAAAUUCUCUUGUUGCUGCUAUAAUGUGGGUGUGUUCGGCUUCCUUCUUCAUUUAAGGUGAAUCCUUGCUUCCAGGUUGGCCUAUGAAAUGAUGUAGUUUCUGCUGGAAAAUAAGUUGUUAUGCAAUUAUAGUUAGGUUGCCAAUUUUCCUUCAUAACUGCAUUUAAUGGGUAGCUGUUAUGCUCACUUUGCUCAAAGAAAGGUUGUCUUGCCAUGCUACUUUGUGCUUUAAGAAAUAGGCUGACACCAAACCAGUAAUCCUAGACUUCUGCUUUGUUGGCCGAAAGUUACUAAUUUUGUUUUUCUUGUUAUCUUUAGCCAUUCCAAAACAUUUAUCUGGUUUUGUAGAAUUACAGACCAUAGAAUUAUAGCCGGCCAUAUUUUUGAAUGCGUGAACCUCACAUAGAUAUCAUGCUAAUGUAGUUUGACGGAAGUCGUAAAACCAAUGGAUAGGCAUCGUCUUCUGCUAAGGUUCCUUUCACCCUUCUUUAGAACCCAACAAGAAUUCAUCAAAAAAUUAAAGAUCUUGGUUAGUGAUUCGUUUCAAUGGCCGGUAUAGUAAGGCUACAUUAAUUAUCAAAUUAUUCUUCAUUUCUUUUUGCCUGCCCUUGUUUAACAACCUAAUACUGAUUGAUCAGGUAUAUUGCAAUGAGUGCUUACUUAUGGUUUGUCCCCUGUUAUUUUUUGAUUCCAGUCUUCAUACUUUCAGACACCUUCGAUAUAUAUAGGAAGAAGAAAGUAUUCGCUCCAGACGAAGAUGUCUAGCUUGCCUGUGUGCUGUAACAUUAAUCAGUGCAUCGGGCCCAACGAUUUCUGUCAUUGGAACCUUGAUGAUUUAUCUCAUUUCAACGUAAUCUAACCCCUCUGAUUUUUGUCAGUACAUGAUUGUAUACCUCCUAUGCCCGCUUAAUUCUGUGUUCAUUUUGUUAAUCAAGAAACAUCUGAUUUUAUGGCUGGGUACGUUGAAAAUAUAUAAAACCUUUCUUCUUUUGGAUAAUUUGUUUUCCUUUGACCAAUCUUUGUUACUUGCCUACACAUCUGUGCACAGCGUGCUGCUCCAGCGCGACCGCUUCGUGUGUUGCCUCGAGUCGCGUGGCCACUACUCUCUCGCCAAGGCGGAGGCAGCUUCCACUCUCGACGCCCUCUGCUGCGCGCUCUCGCAGGCGGCGUUCGCAAAGCCUUGUCACAGCGCUGCAAGUGUUGCCCCCCUCCUCCCCAAGGGCAAGGUGAAGGAAGGUGCCUGUGUGGUUCUUCUGCAGCUCGCGGCAAGGAUUGUUGUGUCCAACCUACAUAAGAAUGCCAAGAAGUCCUUCUCGGAGAUGAUUAAGGACAUGUACCUCCACUACAAUGGGAGAUCUGGGCUGCUUCUUUGUGGCUUCCAAACUUGAAAUAUUUGUUUGAAAGUUAGUUUAGUUUUUUGUUGUGGAUUCACAGCUUCUCACAUGUACCAUCCUCUUAGACCUUUAGAUUUCUAAAGAAACUAAAUGAAGAUAUGGUGGUAUGGUCUCAAUAGUA
Molecule: RNA transcript, 3957 nt
Organism: Triticum aestivum (bread wheat)
Lineage: Eukaryota; Viridiplantae; Streptophyta; Magnoliopsida; Poales; Poaceae
Exons: 6
Source: RefSeq, a predicted model, not a curated record